UCAGAUUGCAGGCUGCAACUCGCCUGCAUGAAGUCGGAAUUGCUAGUAAUCGCAGAUCAGCAUGCUGCGGUGAAUACGUUCCCGGGCCUUGUACACACCGCCCGUCACACCAUGGGAGUCGGUAACACCCGAAGUCGGUAGCCUAACCGUAAGGAGGGCGCCGCCGAAGGUGGGAUUGAUGACUGGGGUGAAGUCGUAACAAGGUAGC
This 208-nucleotide ribosomal RNA is filed under the name uncultured bacterium. RNAcentral's name for it is "partial 16S ribosomal RNA". It matches the Rfam family "Bacterial small subunit ribosomal RNA", at positions 1293 to 1500 of the family's 1533-position model. The record is from RNAcentral.